CAAGAGCUCCGGCGGGAGCCGCGAUUCUUGCUUUCAGUUUAUCGUGGCGCCGCUUCCGAAUAUUCUCGCUCCGGCAAGAACACGGUUCGAUCGCGUCCAGCUCGAUCCUCAUCGAAAAUCGUCGUAAAUCUCGAAUGACACGUGCACAAAGUUUCUUUCCCGGAAAUCUCCAAACCUAACGCAAUACAAGAAAGAAACAAGACAAUUGUUUAAGAAAAAUUAACCCAAUAAUCGUGGUGACUUUUCGAUGUUUUCGAUUAAUUCAACAAACCAGCAACACAUUAGUGGAAUAAUGUGCUCGGCGCUCCGCUGCUCAAUAUUUUUCGGGGAGUGACCAGAGGUUUUCGGUGUUAGAGGAAGCAAAUAUUUAGUCAAGAUAACGCGUAGCUCGCGGAGACACUUUGAAAGCUUCGUCGACAGCGAACCACGUCUGAACGGUGUGUGUGUGGCCGCGCGUAACGCGUGAGAAACGUCCGUGCCACGGGAAAUACCUGUGCAACAGAUAUUUGAGCAGCCCCGGGCGUUUAUAAGUACUUGAUGUCAGCAAUUUCGCUUGUCUCCCUUUGCCGGUCCGCAUCUGGGCGGAAAAGUUUCACUUGCCCUAUGUCAUGCUCCCUAUGAAAGUAUCGCGCGCGUACAGGAAAACGAGCUGACAAGGCCUAACCUAUUUUCGUUGUUUCGCCGUCGGAGAUACGUUUGUUUCCGGAGCACGUUGUUUACGGGUUUCAGUAAAAUUUGUACAAAAUUUUCACACCGGCCGACCGGGUCGAAUAAACAAGGAAAUUGUUUAUGUCGAAAUUGUUUCGACGUCGAUGACAGGGUGCACCUGCACUAGAUGCUGGUCUACGGUGUUCAGUCCUGCCACUGACAGCUCGGGCCGUGCGUGACAUAGGCCGCCCGAGGGAAAAAGGAAUAAAAAUUACCGGUCCCAUCCCUUCCAUUGAUGGGAACAAUUCGGCGACCAUUGCGCCAGUUCGUCAGCUCGAUUCAAGGUGCCCUGAAUUCGAUUAAUUCGGAGCGAUCGCGAGAGUCUGCAAUUACAUUCUCGGUUAAUUACGGUUCGAUCGUCGAUACUUUCGAGUGACGUGUGCCGCCGUGCUUAAUCACGUUCGCUAAUUUUGCGCCCCGAGUUAACAAAGGGGCUGGCCUCUCUGCCUGUUCGCCGACACUUCAUGCAUGUCCUGCCGCACGUUACACGCGGAUCAAUCUCGGCCAGCUGAACGAUCGAUCCUCCGUGAGUUGCAGAAAGUGUUGGCCACCUUAUCGAAUGCGGGCUUUGAUUUUUAUGCACGCUCCCAGCCGAGGUUCUUUCGCCCGUGAAGAAGGAUUGGUCUAGGGGAUCGAAUGGAAUAAUAAAGUAACGAGAGGAAAAAGUUCCAGGGCGAGACCAAUUACUUGUUGAUCUUCCUCUAUGUGCCCGUGAUGGUCGUCGCUGUCACGGCCAAUGUCCUCGUCAUCGCGGUCGUUUUCAAGUACCACUACAUGCGCAGCGUCACCAAUUACUUCGUGGUGAACCUGUCCGUAGCAGAUCUCCUGGUGACCACGAUUUGCAUGCCUGUUGCCGUGAGUCAGGCAGUCUCGAUUGUUUGGAUCCAUGGAGAAGUGAUGUGCAAAUUGUCCUCUUAUCUUCAGGGGGUUGCUGUCGCCGCCUCGGUUUUCACCAUUACCGCGAUGAGCAUCGACAGGUACCUGGCGAUAAGGAGUCCUAUAGCGUUCCGACAGGUAUUCAAUCGCAGGAGCACCGUUCUCGUUAUCGUGGCCGUUUGGCUGGUCGCUUUAAUCAUCUUUGUGCCGGUCUUGAGGGUGAUGACCUUACACAGCCCCAGCACAGAAUACGGCAACAUAACUUUCCGCGGGUCUUGGACAUUGACGAGGAAUUUGUCGCAGAACUCGUCGCGUGUUUCGAAUUUACCACCUGCUUACUACAUUUGUUCGGAAGACUUCAAGCCUCUCGGCAUUCGGCCACACCUUUUCGGAGCUGUCUGUUUCGUGCUGGUAUACGCCAUUCCUGGUUUCGUCGUGAUCUUGUUUUACUCCAUGAUGGGCCGAACGCUGUGCUCCCGAAAACCCCCAUUCGAUUGCGACAGCGUUAAAGGAAAUGCUAGUUCGCAACAGACGUUCCGACUGGUACGUGAGAGAAGGCGAAUUGCUUGGAUAUUGCUCCUUCUGGCGGUGCUGUUCGCGUUGUGCUGGCUGCCGUACAACGUCCUAAUGCUUCUGAUCGACCUGGGUGUAGUCGGGGAAGGAAAAGCGACCAGAGACGCCCGUUCCUAUUGCCUGUUCCUGGGACACGCGAAUAGCGCCCUGAACCCGGUGGUCUAUUGCUUCAUGACUCGCACGUUCCGGCGCAGUGUCGCUGAGAUCCUCCGCUGCGGUCCUCACGGGCUGGCGCACCGGAAACCACGUCGCAGAAGUGCUCAAGGAACCGCGGUGAUCGAUGACGUGUGCGCAGGAUGCAGUACUGGCGGCGGUUCAAUGAAACGAGGGUUGUUGCGCAAACGAAGAAUGCUGGCCGGAUGCGGAUGCGGCUUGCCGAUAGGUGGUCACCACGCGGUUGUAGCCCUCCGACGCACAGUCACAUUGAGCAGCGGCUAUGACAGCUUCUACAGCAAGCAUAGUCCUCAUAAACUUUGCUACAUGCUGCGCAGCCUUCGAGGAAAACCCCAAAUGGCGAUCGAGCCAGCCGCCAAUGCGGAUAGGCACAAGGAGACUUGUUACGAGAGGAACGACCCAGAGGCCAGUCAACCGCAAACCAACACUGUCGUUACCACUGAUGAGCAACGCUGUUAAACAGCUCGAUCUGCUGAUCAGUAAUGAUCGAUCUUCUUACAAUUAGAGACAUUGUGAUUUAGAUGUUACGUGUGCGAACAUGCUCGAUAUAUAUGCGAAUUAAGGAUGAAGACAGUCCACGAGCAACAGGGUAUGGAGAUUCAAGGAUGAUACCAAUGAAUGAUUUACCUGUCAGUCGACUGUCUGAACACUUGUUGCAUAUUGCGAACCAUUUGUAGUGAAGAGAUUUAAUGGAGAGAGUGGUAUUCGUGGUUUUCUUUUAAUUUUUUUAAUGGAUCGACUCAGACUGGUUUGUGAAGAGCUGAAAGCUUGUAAGCUUGUUUAUUGUAAGUAAUCUGAACGGGGUUAGAGGAACCGUUUGUUUAGGUGAUUCUAACAGGGCGACGCCAGUCUAAACUCGAAAUAGAAUAUUUGAAACUCAAGAUUACAGUAUGAAGUGUCUGCAUCCAUUGUGGUGAAUAAAUAAAGGACCCUCUUAAUGAAUUAAUAUUUCAAAUAUAUGGAUAAGGACAGGGUUAACUGGACUAACAAUAUAAAAGACACGUCGGGCAAUAGAUCCCUCAAUGAUCGCCUCGGCCCGCUCGGUGUUUUCUCUAGCAAAUUCGUGCCGUAACCGACGCAGACUGACAUCAAAUCUGGAAGAAAAAAGUCGCCGAGGAGGAUCGAACGAUUGAUGUCUUCCUUUUGUGUCCUCGGACGUAUCACUGCGGGGAAUUACCUUCCUUGCUGGGCGUUGGGAGAGUGGCCAUUAUUCUUUCAACCUGGUUGAUUGUCGAUGAACCAGGGAACAGCGGCUUCCCCAGGAGCAUUUCACCAAGAAUACAUCCUAAGGACCACAUGUCGAUACCCUUGGUGUACCUAAACGUCGCCAGUGGCCAGACUAUUAUCAAACUCUGUUUGAAAUCCAACCAUAUUCGAAAAACGACAGGAAUACCUUUUAGACGCGACAAGUAUUUCCGGCGCUCGGUACCAGCGGGUCGCGACGUAAUCCGUAAGGAUUGGAUCGCUGCCAUUUUCGCCGUCACCUUCGCCGAUCUGAGUGACCGAUCGCGCUAAACCAAAGUCGGCGAUUUUACAGUGACACUGCGAGUUCAGUAGAACGUUCGACGGCUGAAGGAUUCAUGAUAAAACAAGAUCGUCACCAAGAAGUUGUAAUUCUUAGCUGGGAAAAGAAGAAGAAGGAGACUUGAGUUUACCUUGAGAUCCCUAUGUAUCACGUUCCCCGAAUGUAUGUACUUGAUCGCCCUAAAUAGCUGAUACAUGAUGAAGACCUUGUGGAUGUCCUUGAGGAGAUUGCCCUUUUUGAUGACGUUGUGGAGAUCGAUUUCUGGGGAAACGGGCCGAAACGUGUUUCAGGCCAAAUGUCUGAGAAUCGCCGCGGCACGUGACCUUCGUGAACUCUCCUUUGAACCGGGUAAAACUCACCCAUAAACUCGAACACGAGAUAUAUAUCCCGGUCGUUGUCCGCCUUGUGCAGACCGAUCAGUCGUAUGAUGUUCUCGUGAUUGGCGAACGACAGUAGGAACAUUAUCUCGCGGAACGUGCGCUGCGCGUCCGUCUGGUUCUGGAAAGCGUCGAAGAUCUUCUUCACCGCGACCGUCUCCUUCGUUUUUCUGUCAAUCGCCUUCCAAACUAUACCAUAGGCCUGUCGAGCAAGUGGUGUGUCAAUGA
Molecule: non-coding RNA, 4461 nt
Organism: Nomia melanderi (Alkali bee)
Lineage: Eukaryota; Metazoa; Arthropoda; Insecta; Hymenoptera; Halictidae
Source: RefSeq, a predicted model, not a curated record